RNAcentral lists this ribosomal RNA (498 nucleotides) under uncultured bacterium. Its description in RNAcentral is "bacterial SSU rRNA". It matches the Rfam family "Bacterial small subunit ribosomal RNA", at positions 899 to 1397 of the family's 1533-position model. The record is from RNAcentral.
ACUCAAAGGAAUUGACGGGGGCCCGCACAAGCGGAGGAACAUGUGGUUUAAUUCGAUGAUACGCGAGGAACCUUACCCGGGCUCGAACGGCUCUAGAAUAUAUCAGAGAUGAUAUAGCCAGCAAUGGCUGGAGUCGAGGUGCUGCAUGGUUGUCGUCAGCUCGUGCCGUGAGGUGUCGGCUUAAGUGCCAUAACGAGCGCAACCCUUGUCGUUAGUUGCCAUCAGGUAAAGCUGGGGACUCUAGCGAGACUGCCACCGUAAGGUGUGAGGAAGGGGGGGAUGACGUCAAAUCAGCACGGCCCUUACGUCCGGGGCGACACACGUGUUACAAUGGCAGGUACAGAGGGCAGCUACCCAGUGAUGGGGUGCGAAUCUCGAAAACCUGUCUCAGUUCGGAUCGGAGUCUGCAACUCGACUCCGUGAAGUUGGAUUCGCUAGUAAUCGCGCAUCAGCCAUGGCGCGGUGAAUACGUUCCCGGGCCUUGUACACACCGCCCGU